AUACUUACCUGGCAGAGGAGAUGCCAUGACCAUAAAGGUGGUUUGCCCAGGGCGAGGCUCACCCAUUGCCCUCCAGAUGUGCUGACCCCUCUGAUGUCCCCAAAUGUGGGGAACUGGACUGCAUAAUUUAUGGUAGUGGGGGACUGCGUUCGUGCUCUCCCCUG
Molecule: small nuclear RNA, 164 nt
Organism: Pteronotus mesoamericanus
Lineage: Eukaryota; Metazoa; Chordata; Mammalia; Chiroptera; Mormoopidae
Product: U1 spliceosomal RNA
Exons: 1
Source: RefSeq, a predicted model, not a curated record